Molecule: transfer RNA, 74 nt
Filed under: Candidatus Paralactobacillus gallistercoris
Lineage: Bacteria; Bacillati; Bacillota; Bacilli; Lactobacillales; Lactobacillaceae
Description: tRNA-Arg
Rfam family: tRNA
About the family: Transfer RNA (tRNA) molecules are approximately 80 nucleotides in length. Their secondary structure includes four short double-helical elements and three loops (D, anti-codon, and T loops).
Source: RNAcentral
GUUUCCUUAGCUCAGUAGGAUAGAGCAAUCGCCUCCUAAGCGAUAGGUCAUCGGUUCGAUUCCGAUAGGAAACA